AAGCUGUGAAGGGCCUUGAAUGUAGUUAGGAGGAGUUUGAAGAUGAUUCUUUGUUUGAUGGGGAGCCAGUGGAGUUGUUGCAGGAUGGGAGUGAUAUGAUGAGAAAUGGGGGUCCGAGUGAUCAGGCGUGCUGCAGAGUUUUGGAGGAGCUGUAGUUUCUGGAGGGACUUGUUUGGAAGGCCAAAAAGAAGUGAGUUACAGUAAUCGAUGCGUGAAGUGAUGAGACUGUGAACAAGAAUGGCGGUAGUUUGGGGAGUGAGGGAGGGACGGAGACGAGAGAUGUUACGCAGAUGGAAGUAGGCAGACCGGGUGAUGUUGUUAAUGUGGGACUGGAAGGAGAGGGUGCUGUCGAGGACGACACCCAGACUCUUAACCUGAGGGGAGGGGAGGACAGUUGAAUCAUUGAUGGUAAUCGAGAAGUUAUUAGCUUUGGAGAGAGUGUGAGGUGUGCCUACUAGGAGGACUUCGGUUUUAGAGCUAUUCAAUUUGAGGAAGUUGGAUGAGAACCAAGAAUGGAUUUCUUGGAGACAGAGGGUGAGGGAGAUUGGUGGGAGUGAGGCAGAUGGCUGAGUAGAAAGUGACUUAAGUGACAUC
Cyprinodon tularosa is the source of this 594-nucleotide long non-coding RNA. RefSeq lists it as uncharacterized. The record is from RefSeq and is a predicted model, not a curated record. NCBI's taxonomy places the organism in Eukaryota, Metazoa, Chordata, Actinopteri, Cyprinodontiformes, Cyprinodontidae. The transcript has 3 exons.